This 231-nucleotide ribosomal RNA is filed under the name uncultured bacterium. RNAcentral describes it as "partial 16S ribosomal RNA". It matches the Rfam family "Bacterial small subunit ribosomal RNA", at positions 333 to 580 of the family's 1533-position model. The record is from RNAcentral.
AUGCACCUACGGGGCGCAGCAGUCGGGAAUAUUGCGCAAUGGAGGAAACUCUGACGCAGUGACGCCGCGUAUAGGAAGAAGGUCUUCGGAUUGUAAACUAUUGUCGUUAGGGAAGAGAAAGGACAGUACCUAAGGAGGAAGCUCCGGCUAACUACGUGCUAGCAGCCGCGGUAAUACGUAGGGAGCGAGCGUUAUCCGGAUUUAUUGGGUGUAAAGCGAGUGCAGGCGGUU